UAUAAGGUGUCCAAGAAGAAAGCUCAGAUCUGCAAACAGCAAGUAUGUUACCUGGGAUUUACUAUCUGACAGGGAGAGUGCAGCCUGGGAUCAGAAAGAAAGCAAGUCAUUUGCAACCUGCUGGAGCCUAAGACCAGAAGGCAGGUGAAAGAAUUCUUAGGAGCUGUAGGGUUCUGCAGGUUGUGGAUCCCAAACUUUGCAGUAUUGGCUAAGGGCCUAUACGGAGUCACAAAGCGGGGAGACAAGGAACCUUUCAAAUGGGGGUCCUGACAGCAGUGAGCUUUUCAUGAGUUAAAAGAAAAUCUCAUGUUGGUCCCAGCCCUGCGGCUACCUGACCUGACGAAACCUUUUACACUGUAUGUGUCAAAGAGAGAAAAAAUGGUGUUUGGAGUUUUGACCCAGACUGUGGGGCCCUGGUCGAGGCCAGUGGCCUACCACUCCAAACAACUAGACGGGGUUUCUAAGCAUUGGCCUGCAUCUUUAAGGACCUUGGCAGCAACAACCCAGCUAGCACAAGAAGCGGAUAAGCUAACUCUUGGGCAAAACCUAACUAUAAAGGCCCCCCAUGCUGUGGUGACUUUAAUGAAUACCAAAGGACAUCAAUGGCUAACGAAUGCUAGACCAACUAGAUACCAAAGCUUGCUCUGUGAGAAUCCCCACAUAACCAUUGAAGUUUGCAACACCCUGAACCCUGCCACCUUGCUCCCGGUAUCAGAGAGCCCAGUUGAACAUAACUGUGUAGAGGUGAUGGACUUAGUUUAUUCUAGCAGGCCUGACAUCCGAGACCAUCCUUGGACAUAAGUAGACUGGGAGCUGUACAUGGACAGGAGCAGCUUCGUCAACCCAUAAGGAGAGAGGUGUGUGGCAUAUGCAGCGGUAACCCUAGACACUGUCACUGAAGCCAAAUCGUUACCCCAGGGCACUUCAGCCCAGAAGGCCGAACUCAUUGCUUUAAUUCAGGCCUUAGAGCUAAGUGAAGGUAAGACUGUAAACAUUUACACUAACUCUCGGUAUGCCUUUUUAACCCUCCAAAUGCAUGGGGCAUUAUACAAGGAAAAAGGCCUGUUGAACUCUGGGGGAAAAGACAUAAAGUAUCAGCAAGAGAUCUUGCAAUUAUUAGAGGCAGUAUGGGAGCCCCAAAGGGUGGCAGUCAUGCACUGCAGAGGACACCAGUGAGCUUCCACCUCGAUUGCCUUGGGGAACUCCCAAGCUGACUCAGAGGCUCGAAAGGCAGCAUCCACCCCGUACUGGGUGUUAGUCACAGCCCCCCUGCUCCUUCAGUCACCUGACCUUGUGCCUACUUAUUCUAAAGAAGAGAAGGACUUUCUCCAGGCAGAGGGAGGACAGGUUAUAAAAGAGGGAUGGAUCCAGUUAUUGGAUGGAAGAAUAGCUGUGUCACAGCUGCUAGGGGCUGCAAUUGUACUGGCUUGCAUAAGACCACCCACCUAGGCGAAGAGUCAUUUGAAAAGUUGUUAGGCUGGUACUUCUACAUCUCACAUCUGUCAGCCCUUGCCAAAACAGUGGCGCAGCAGUGUGUCACCUGCUGGCAGCACAAUGCUAGGCAAGGUCCAAAAGUCCUGCCCAGCAUACAGGCUUGUGGAGCAGCCCCCUUUGAAGAUCUCCAAGUAGACUUCACCAAGACGCCCAAAUGUGGAGGUAACAAGUAUUUGCUAGUUCUAGCGUGUACAUACUCUGGGUGGGUGGAGGCCUAUCCAACACGAACUGAGAAAGCUCAUGAAGUAACCCAUGUGCUUCUCUGUGAUCUCAUUCCUAGGUUUGGACUGCCCUUACCAAUUGGCUCAGACAACGGGCCGGCAUUUGUGGCUGACUUGGUACAGAAGACAGCAAUGGUAUAGGGGAUCACAUGGAAACUACAUACCACCUAUCGACCACAAAGUUCUGGAAAGGUGGACCGGAUGAAUCGGACUAUCAAAAAUAGUUUAGGGAAAGUGUGUCAAGAAACAGGAUUAAAGUGGGUACAAGCUCUCCCUGUGGUAUUGUUUAAGAUUAGAUGUACCCUUUCUAAAAGAACAGGAUAUUCCCCUUAUGAAAUAUUAUAUCAUAGCCCCCUCCCACACUACAGGGACUCCCAGGCACUCCGCAAGAGCUAGGUGAAAUUGAGUUACAGUGAUAGCUACAGGCUUUAGGGAAGAUAACAACAAAAAAUUUCAGCCUGGGUAAGUGAGAGGUGCCCCAUCAGCUUACUCUCCCCAGUUCACCCUUUCUCCCCAGGUGAUCGGGUGUGGAUCAAGGAUUCGAACGUAGCCCCCUUGCAGCCACGGUGGAAAGGACCCCAGACCGUCGUCUUGACCACUCCCACAGCCAUAAAGGUAGAGGGAAUCCCAGCCUGGAUCCACCACAGCCACGUAAAACCUGCAGCACCUGAGACCUGGGAGGCGAGACCAAGCCCGUACAACGCCUGCAAAAAAGUAACUUUGAAGAAGACGACAAGCCCUGUUCCAGUCACACCCAGAAGCUAACUGGUCCACGCAUGGCCAAAGCAUGAGGAAACUCAUCCUGGAACUCAUUUUCCUUAAAUUCUGGAUUUGUACAGUAAGGACUUCAACUGACCUUCUUCAGACUGAGGACUGUUCCCAGUGUAUGCAUCAAGUUACUGAGGCAAACAAAGACUGGACUUACUCAUUGAGUGCAAAACACACAACAAAGGCUGAAGGCACUUCAAGCACUCGUGGUCCAAAGAUCGGGCAGAAAAAUUCAGAUGCAUCCUCACAAAAAUUAUGGCAGCAGCAAGUAAGAAGGUAAUGAUCCUGAGAAUCAGCACCCAAGACCAGUGGUCAGUCCAGCAGGAAAGAGAUAAAGGUGGCAUGGGACAAGCGCCACCCUCACCUCUGGGGACCAUCCCCCAGACACCAAGCAGGAAGACGAAGCUCAGGUCACAUUCAUCAUGGCUGAACUCCAGGUCACCUGUGGUGCAGAGAAAGUGGCUGGCUCAGAUGUCCAGGCCUGUGAGUAGGAACAAUGACGGGGCUUUCUCUGAAGCUUGCAUUGCACUUAUCCGCAGCGGGGAAGGGGUUGCGGAAUGACCUCUCUCCUUGUGAACUCCAGCAGAGCAGUUUUUCUGUGUAUUCGUUUUCUAUUUUUCUUGUUAUUGUUUUGUUUUCUAAUUUUACAAAUUGAAAAUGAUAUAUGACCAAGUUUACUCUUCUCUCCUUGGAGACUGAAUAAUUUUUCAAAUCUUCUCUUUCUCAUGGACGAAUCGUCCCUUCCUGUGUUUAGAAGUGCAGUGUUGUGUUGAGCAUAUGGACAUGACUGUGAGUCCCUGGAUGUCUUCUGUUUCUCAUGGAGGAAUUGUCCCUUCCUGUGUUUAGAAGUGCAGUUCUGUGUUGAGCAGACAGACAUGACUGUGAGUCCCUGGCCGUCUUCUGUUUCUCGUGGAGGAAUUGUCUCUCCCUGUCUUUAGUACUGCAGUGCUGUGUUGAGCAGACAGACAUGGCUGUGAGUCUCUGGGCUUGUGCCCUGGCCCAGUCAUUGCCUAGGCAACUCCCUCCCCACGGGCACCUGGCCUCUCUCCACUUUACUUUCUGAACCUGUAAAAUGGGUAGGAGGAUGGAGGAUGGUACGUCCUACCUCAUAGAGCUCAUGAGAGGAUUGGUACAGAUGAAAGCACUCGGAACACUGGCUGCAAUAUGAUAGGUCCUCAUCCAAUGUUAAUUACCAUUAUAAUUAUAAGCGUCUUUCAAAAGUAUUUGUCAUAAUACCUUUUUAUGUGGAUGGAAAGAGUGAUAUAAAUUUUCCCUGUCAUGAUGUGAACAGAACCUGGAGCACGCUUGGGUGGAGCCUGGAACUUUGGGUUAUUGAAGAGCCUGCUAGCACUAGUUCUAACAGCUGAGAUAUAGAAUCAGUCCAGGUGUCCAAUAAUACAUGAAUGGAUGAAGUAUCCAUGCAGAUACAUGAAUUGAAAAUGUAUAUACACAUACACUUUAAAAUUUGUGUAUACACAAUGGAAUACUAUUCAGCCAUAAAAAGAAUGAAAUCCUGUCAUUCAUGGCAAAAUGGUUGGAACUGGAGGACACCGUGCUCAGUAGAACGAGCCAGGAACACGAAGUUAAACGCCUCAUGUUCUCACUUAUUCGUGGAAGCUUAAAAAUGCUGAUCUCAUAGAAGUAAAAGGUAGAACAGAAGAUCCUAGAGGCUGGGAAGGAUUGGAGAAAGGGAGAGAUAGGGAGAGAUUUGUUAAAGAAUACAAAAUUACAGCUAGACGGGAGGAAUAAUUUCUAGUGUUCUAUACCACUGUAGGAUGACUACAGUUAACAAUAAUAUAUAGUUUUAAAUAGCUAUAGGGAGGAUAUUGACAAGGAAAUAAUAAGUAUUUGAGAUGAUGGAGAUGCAAAUCACCCUGAUCUGAUCACUGUAAAACAUAUGUAUUAAAAUUUCCCUGUUUACCCCCAUGAAGGUGUACAAUUAUUAUGUGUCCAUGAAACAUAAAUAAAGUAAAUUUUUAAGACUCCAA
Molecule: long non-coding RNA, 4471 nt
Organism: Homo sapiens (human)
Lineage: Eukaryota; Metazoa; Chordata; Mammalia; Primates; Hominidae
Exons: 4
Source: RefSeq, a predicted model, not a curated record